GGUGGGGUCGCCAAGUCAGGUGAUGGCGCCGAUUUCAGAAGUCGGUACCCGAAAGGGUUCAUGGGUUCAAAUCCCAUCCCCACCG
Molecule: transfer RNA, 85 nt
Filed under: Candidatus Aenigmatarchaeota archaeon
Lineage: Archaea; Nanobdellati; Candidatus Aenigmatarchaeota
Description: tRNA-Leu
Rfam family: tRNA
About the family: Transfer RNA (tRNA) molecules are approximately 80 nucleotides in length.
Source: RNAcentral